This 429-nucleotide ribosomal RNA is filed under the name uncultured bacterium. RNAcentral describes it as "bacterial SSU rRNA". It matches the Rfam family "Bacterial small subunit ribosomal RNA", at positions 355 to 776 of the family's 1533-position model. The record is from RNAcentral.
UGGGGAAUAUUGCACAAUGGGCGCAAGCCUGAUGCAGCCAUGCCGCGUGUAUGAAGAAGGCCUUCGGGUUGUAAAGUACUUUCAGCGGGGAGGAAGGGAGUAAAGUUAAUACCUUUGCUCAUUGACGUUACCCGCAGAAGAAGCACCGGCUAACUCCGUGCCAGCAGCCGCGGUAAUACGGAGGGUGCAAGCGUUAAUCGGAAUUACUGGGCGUAAAGCGCACGCAGGCGGUUUGUUAAGUCAGAUGUGAAAUCCCACGGCUCAACCGUGGAACAGCCCUUGAUACUGCGCGACUUGAAUCCGGGAGAGGGGGGUAGAAUUCCAGGUGUAGCGGUGAAAUGCGUAGAGAUCUGGAGGAAUACCGGUGGCGAAGGCGGCCCCCUGGACGAAGACUGACGCUCAGGUGCGAAAGCGUGGGGAGCAAACAGG